Cyprinus carpio (common carp) is the source of this 777-nucleotide long non-coding RNA. Lineage: Eukaryota; Metazoa; Chordata; Actinopteri; Cypriniformes; Cyprinidae. The record is from Ensembl.
AUGAUGUCUUCCAUCGAGCAGAGCUGCACCUGCCGUGGAUGUAUAUAUCAUUUUAUUUACACGCUGUUUCUCGAGAUGUCCGCGUCCACAGAUGUUGAGAGCCAGUCGCCCGCCGCGCGCUCCCGCAGCCGGUGUCUGGACACCUUCCUCACCGUGUCCGUGAUCGCGCUCUUCCUCAUGUUUAUGGUCGCGCUCGCGGGCGCGCUGUACUUCGCCAAACACGUCGAGGACGAGAUAAACAAGCGGACGACGCGACGCUUGGACGGAUCUGCGGACGCGUUGGUUGCGCCGUUUCCCGAGACCGGAAACGCAUAUAAGAUGCAGAAUUUUGCCUACCUGAGGGCCACUGAAAGUAAACUCAAAUCAGGUGUGAUGGCGUGGGAAUCUAUCGCGUAUGGAAGCGGUCAAACCAUCGGCUCUCUCUACAGCUUUGAUCAAAAACAGAAUGUGCUGAACGUGAAUGAGAGUGGAAGCUACUUCCUGUAUGUCCAGCUCACUUUUUCCUGCACUGGAAUAUGUCCAUCUGACCAGUUCACGGUCAGCUUUUAUAAUCAGCGCAAUAGCGUGGAGCUCACCUGCACCGUCUCACUGCCUAAAUGGAGCGAAGAAACACCCAUUAGCAAGACGUGUUGGCGUGUCGUUACCUUUCCGGAAGAUGGAAACCGCCUUGUAGCCAAAUCCCAGUUUAAAGAAACACUAGACUGGAAACUGGAGAUGAAUGACUCUGGCUUUGGGAUGUUUCUGGUGGACGGAUUACGAGCGGUACAUCACACAUGA